Molecule: non-coding RNA, 29 nt
Filed under: Homo sapiens (human)
Lineage: Eukaryota; Metazoa; Chordata; Mammalia; Primates; Hominidae
Source: RNAcentral
UCUUCUCGGANCUGCUGUCCAACCUGUAC